UACAGAGGGUGCAAGCGUUGUUCGGAUUUACUGGGCGUAAAGCGUGCGUAGGCGGUAUUGAGAGUCGCGGGUGAAACCCCCAAGCUUAACUUGGGAACUGCCUGCGAGACCUCAAUACUAGAGUGUGAGAGGGGAUGGUAGAAUUCCUGGUGUAGCGGUGAAAUGCGUAGAGAUCAGGAGGAAUACCGGCGGCGAAGGCGGCCAUCUGGCUCACAACUGACGCUCAGGCACGAAAGCGUGGGGAGCAAACAGG
Molecule: ribosomal RNA, 253 nt
Filed under: uncultured bacterium
Lineage: Bacteria
Description: partial 16S ribosomal RNA
Rfam family: Bacterial small subunit ribosomal RNA
Source: RNAcentral